AGAGCAAAACUUUCCACUCUGUAAGUGCAUGUAAGUGCAGACCAUGCAUAACGACUUUUUUUUUUUUCCCCAAAAAGUACUUCAUGGAAAGAAAAACAGUAACUUUACAAAUACUAUCUCAAGCCAGGUGAUCAAGGUUAACAUCAACAGUGAUAAGUCAUAAUGAUAGUAUGUACCCUUCAAAUUAUAUGAUGAGAAUGCCAUCUUACCUCUCUGUCUUCCUCCCAAAAACAUAUUAACCAUGAGGAAAACAUCAAAUUCCAGUUAAAGGAGAUUCUACAAAAUAGGCCUGACCAGUAAUCUUCAAAAUUGUGAAGAUCACCAAAAUUGUCAAGAUCACCAAAAAUCUGAAAAACAGUCACAGUCCAGGGGAGCCUAAGGAGGAUAAGAACUAAAUGUGGUCCCAGACAAGAUCCUGGAACAGAAAAUGAACACUAAGGGAAAACUAAGGAAAUAUGAACAAGGAGAUUCCAUGAAAGGAGAGAGGCUGGCACAGCUGGUUGUUCUAUGGCCAUGAGGAGAAGCAUGACAAGAGAGAAGAGAUGCCACUAGAUGAAAAGAACUCUCCAGAGAAGAGUGGAGGCCCAAACUGGGAAGUUAGCUGUAGCAGCUGAUGUCACAAAGCCUGGCUGAGGACCAAAGAGAAACAGGUUCGUUUGGAAGUUCGUAUCUGAGCAGACUGGCUCAACCAGAAGUCCAGAAAAGUGUGGACCAGCUUCAACAGGACAGCACUAACACAGACUACUGCAGUCUCUGCACAGAGAGGCCUAAAGGAGAGGUCACAGCAGUACUCUGCAGGUAACACUCCAUUUCCAACGAGCAGAGAAUCCCAAAGGAGGUGAUUUAGUGAUGAUCUCCAUCAGCCCUAGAGAGGGAUCGUCGUGGUCAGGAGACCCAGUUUUAGAGCCCGAAUCCUGGCCAUUCAUUGCCUAUGUGACCAGGUUACUGAAUCUCCUCUUCAUAAAGUAAUUAUGAGGAUUCAGUGAGUUGCUACAGGCAAAACGCUUAGAACAGCGCCUGUUAUAUAACAACUAACAUCAAUGUAGACUUGCUAUUUUCACUGGUAUUUUUUUUUUUUUUUGACUAGCCACUUAAAUUCUGAUGUGUCUCAUGUUUGGUUAUUAGUGUCACCUAAAAGAAAUAAAACCAGUUCCUUGUUGCUUUUUUCCAUGAAAUGGCUUUUAGAUUAAUACCUCUGAAAAACUGCAACAAGUCAAAUUUUAAAAUAUUAACAAGUAACAUAUGCCCGGAGCAAUUCAAACUGUCUCCCUUCCCAGCUCUCCUGGAUCAGGAUAAACAAAGACCCACUUGGGUCCACAAGUCACAAAAUGAAGCAGCAGAGGAUGGGAUGAUUGUCAACAACACCCAAUAUGAAUGAGGACUAUGUCUUAGCGGCUCGGGAGAGACCCCCUCAGAUAGCAGGGCUGCCCCAAGGAUGGCCUGAGCCUGAUGAAGGGAAAGGAAAGGGGCAACUGACCUCCACAGGGAAAUGGGCUGCACAGGCACCUCCCUCAGCCCCACAACCACCCUGGCACCAGGGCCAGGCGAUUAUGUUGAGGAAGUCCUGACCAAGCAAGGAGUCAAACCGGGGACUCCCCGGUCCAGAGCCCAGCUCUCUCCGCUGUGGCCUCUAGAGGGGAGGACCCUGCCUUAUCCUGGGCUCAGGCAGCUGAGGAGAGAGGCUGAGUAAAAAGGAAAAGAUCAUGAAUGACUGUUCACUGUAGGAGAAAGGCUAGAUGUACACUCCACCUAUUUAAUAAGCCCUCAGGUGAUGAGAGGAUUAACAGCUGCAAAGAAUGCCAAAUCCUCUCAGGAUGGUUAGUGGUUAAGGAGACAGGUAAAUUGCUAAUAUUACAUGAACAAGGGUGAUUCCAACUGGUUAGAAAGCAGGGUGAGCUCGUUGUGAAGAAGCAAUUUGUCAUUUCCACCAUAAACCUUCGUGCGGUUAAAUGCCUCUCCAGGGAGGCAGAGACUUAGUGCAGCAGGAAGAGAGAGUAAGGAACAGCAGCUGCCCCAUUAUUUUUUACAUUCAUUAAAUGCAAAAGGGCUGGGUGGUGAACAGAAUACCCAGAGGCAGCAGGGCUCUGCUCAGUAGUUUUCAACCUGGACCUGAUGGAUUCACCAGAUUCAGCCACAGGGCACCCGCAUUAGUAGGCGAGGAGCUUCCACCCAGCAAAGGAUCCUGACCAAAAGGGCUUGAGUUGCCAAUUCUAGCUGCCUUCUGGGCCCAGUCACCAUGCAACAGGGAUGUGGAGAGGAGGUACAGGUGUCCACUGGGUAUAUACUAUGGGCCAGGCACGGUGCUAAGGACGUGACACCCAUUAUUGCAUUUACUUCUAACAGGGUUGACAUUGUCCAUUUUACAAAAGAAUUGACAGUUGAGUAAUUCACCCCUUUGCUGUCAAGAUGAGUGUCAGAGUCCCUGCCUUCAAAAAGACAAAUACACUGUGAUGCAUGCAGAAACAAAGGUCUCUCUAGAGUGUAAUGGUAACACAAAAGAAGAGAAAACUACUCUGCCAACAUCAGGGAAAGCUUCUAGAAGGGAUGAAAGCUCAAAUAGGCUCUGGAAGAUAAGCAGAAGUUGGGCUGAGGUUUGAAGAGACAGGCUUCAGCCGCAAUGGGAAGGGAGUGCUUCCCAGGUAGAAGGAAGAGGAGGAAUAGAAGUGGCCUCAACAGGACAUACUCAGGGCACAAGGCACAGCGGACCUAUAAUAUGCUGCUGUGGCCUCAGGUGCCAGGCAGAAUGCCAUGUGCCUUGCUCUGAGUUCAGACUCAAGCCUGGAAUCACCACAUGGUUUUAAGUAGGACAAUGCCUACAGAAUCAUCCUUAUACAGAUGAGCCAGGCAGCAGUGUGGAGGAUGGUGGGAGGGCACAGCCAAAGGCAUGGUGGCAGUCUGGAGGGCACUGCGGCAGCUGUCUAUGAAACACAACAGUCUGGGGCUGCACUGGUAGGAAGGAAUAGGGAGAGACACGAUUGAAAAAUAUUUAAGAGGCACAUCUGUAAGGGUGACCUAAGCCAGGGGUAGUGACAGAGAAGAAAGGUGACCCUGAGGUUUCCAGCUUACAUUCUUGAGUGGUCAAGAUGUCUUUCCAAGAGAUAAGGAAAUAUGAAAAACAAGUGCAUGUUCUUUUUCAGGGCAAAAAGGAGAGACUGCAGAAAUGAUAACUUCAGUUUUUUGACAUAUUGAAUUUAAGGUGCCUUUGGGAUAUCCAAAUGGGAGUGUCACACAGAAUAUACAAGUCUCAACCUCCAAAAAGAGUUUCAUAAAAUCAAAUAAUGGCCUUAUUUACAUCUAGUGACAUACACUGCCUGGCAGUGUUCCCAGACUAGAGAAAGGCACAAUCAGGGACACAGACAAUGCUGCCUGGACUGACAUUUGGUUAAACAGGGACAGUCGGCAUGUUCUUGUAGGAUCUCUGAGUCAGAUGUAAGCAGACUGGAGUCUUGCCUUGGUUCCAUACCACAACCAUACCACGUUCAAGCUUAGAAGUGAAUCCUAGAUUCCCCACUUACCACCUCUGCGAGCUAUGGCAAGUUAUUUAACCUCUUGGUACCUCAGUUUCCUCAUCUGGACAAUGGGAUAAUUAUUACACCUACACCACACAGAGUUGUUAUAAGGAUAAAGUAACAAAUCUUGUUAAGUGCUUUGCAUGGAGCCCGACACAGUAACAGCACAUAGUGCAGUCUGUACUCAAUUCUGGUUAAUGUUGAUAAGAACAACAAUGUAAUUAGUUUGAGGAAGUCUUUCUUUUUUUUUUGACAGAGUUUCGCUCUUGUUACCCAGGCUGGAGUGCAAUGGUGCAAUCUUGGCUCACCGCAACCCCUGCCUCCUGGGUUCAAGCAAUUCUCCUGCCUCAGCCUCCUGAGUAGCUGGGAUUACAGGCAUGCGGCACCAUGCCCAGCUAAUUUUGUAUUUUUAGUAGAGACAGGGUUUCUCCAUGUUGGUCAGGCUGGUCUUGAACUCCCAACCUCAGGUGAUCUGUUCGCCUUGGCCUCCCAAAGUGCUGGGAUUACAGGUGUGAGCCACCACACCAGGCAAGGGAGUCAUUUUCUUUAUGUGACCCUUACCUGUAAAAUAAGGAUAACGCCUGCUUUUUAUGGGAUUAUUGAAGACUAACAUUAGGUGACAGUGGAUAUGAAAAUUCACUUAAACAACUAGAAAGUGCUUCGUAAGUGAGAAAUCAGGGCCUUUCAGCAGGAAUCAAAGAGGUUUGCGCUCCCAGCAGAUCCGAUCAUCAGUGUGUGCUGCCAUGGCUUUCCGUCCUUGUCCUAUAAUAUGCUGCUUUUGGCUCCAAGAGGAAACUUGCCACACACCAGACCCUGUGUCAUGUGCUGAGUACCAAAAGGUCACAGAAGGGAAUACUAUUCAGCCAUAAAAAGGAAUAAACUUUUGAUACAUGCCACAGCAUGCAUGUACCUUAGAAACAUUAUGCUUAGUGAAAUAAGCCAGACACACAAGGACAAAUACAUGAGAUUUCACUUAUAUGAGGUUUCUAGGCUAGGCAAAUUCAUAGAGAUGGAGGAUGGAACAGAGGUUACCAAGGGCUACGGGAAAACAGAGCUAUUGUUUAAUGGGUACAGAGUUCAUCUUAGGAAGGAUGAAAAACAUUGGGGUAUACAUAGUGGUGAUGGAUACAAAGUAUUGUGAAUGUAUUUAAUGUCACUGAGUUGUACACUUACAAGUGAUUAAAAUGAUAAUUAUGUUGUGUGUGUGCAUAUACAUAUGUGUGCCAUAGAAGUCAUCAAAACAAAGAGUAGAUGCUCAAUGCAACCUGUUGCCAACACCAAGAACAUGAACCAAAGGGUCCCUAAAGGGUGGUUAGUGUAGUAGCGAGGAACUGACAUUCUGCAUAUCAUCCUGUUACAAUGGAUAAACACUGUUGGCUUCAGAGGACUCCCAAACAUGAGGUGUGUCAGUGCAAGAAACUGUGGACUGAGCUGGGCAAUAUCAAAUCCUCCCGUGGAAACUCAAUAACAUCAUUUCUUACUCUUGAGCAUAAAUAACUGUAAUAAAGCAAAGCACCUUAUUUAAAAGAUAGCAUCUGUUUUGCUUUGACAACAACUCCUGGCUCUUACUAACUCUUCUCUGCUGACAGAUAAUGCAUUCAGCAGUUCUGCCCCAGUUUAAAAAUCAUUCCCAAAUCACUUCACUUCCAGAGCAGAACCAAACUCCUCCUACUGAGUGACUUUUCAGUCUGGUGCAGAUUCAGGAAAAGAUAAAUGUAUUUUUCAUUAUGUAUUCAGUAGGUACUUAGCAAACCAGAUUCUCCUGAGGUGUGAUUCUCCUGGGAAUAAAAUCCUAGAAAUAAUCUACCACUCCCUCAAGCUCCCAAGUCUCUAUUCACACUAGCCUUCUUGCCAUUUCUUGAACCUGCGAAGCCCAUUCCUGCCCCCCAGGAAUGGUGACCUGGGGCACUUGCUGACCUCUGUCUGGAACAUUUCCUCCAGAUACCCACACGGCUCACUCCCUCUUUCCAUUCACAUCUCUAGAGACUCAAGUGUCAUCAGAACCCAGAAGCCUUCCGCAACAGUCUGUGCAAAAGAGCACCCACCCCUAUAAACUCCAUGCAGACAGGGACUUUGUUUUGUAGACUGCUGUAUCCCCAGAGCCUCAAAAAGUAUUGGCUCAAAAAGGGAAGUCAAUUUAUUUUUUCAAAUGAGUGGGGAAAAAAAUUAGGUCCUGCUGUCUGGGCACUGCUCUUUAUAUUGAUGAGAAUACCUCGCCCCCUAAGAAAGCAUUGAUUUGUUUCCUUUGACUGAGAAGACAGUUCUAAUCAUUCCAUCACACGCUGCUCAAUCCCUAUCAAGUGUUUUCUAAAAUUUAAUAAAGUCUGGGCCCCUUUUAAAGAAAAAAAAAUUGGCAAACACCCCGUGUUUAAAUGAAUAAAUAAUAUGUGGUAUAGCCAUGCUAUGGAAUGUUACUCAGCAACAAAAAGAAAUGAAGUACUGAUACAUGUCCCAAUAUGGAUGAACCUUGAAAACAUUACGCUAAAUGAAAGAAGCCAAAUACCAAAGGCCACAUAUUGUAUGAUGCCAUUUAAAAUGUCCAAAACAGGCAAAUCCAUAGAGACAGAAUGUAGAUUAGUAGUAGUCUGGGGCUAGGGGUGUUGGGGAAUCAGGGAUGAUGGAUUAGAGGUAUAGAGUUUCUUUUUGGGGUUCGCGCCCCAAACAUGUUUGAAAAUUGAUUGUGGUGAUGAUUAUACAACAUUAAGAAUAUACUAAAACUCACUGAAUUGUAUAUUUAAAUGGGCGAGUUAUAUGGUAUGCAAAUUAUACCUCAAAAAGCUGUUACCCAAAGAAGCGUUCCAAAUGAUGUCUGUUACAUCAUUUAAAUAUGUAAAGCAUAAAACUAGAUAGAAAUUACUUACAGGGUUUACAUAAAUUUAUAAAUUAAACACAAAUAAUGUAACCAAAACAAAUUAAGAAUGUUAAAGUCAGAGAAUACUUUGUCCUUGUAACUGAAAUGAUAUCACUGCUCACAACAGGAAUAUACAGUGACUACCUGCCCCAAGUUCUCUUGGGUUUGGCAGAGGAAUACACAGGGUGAUACUCAGAAAUUUGACAGCCAGGAUGGUACAGUCCCAACAAAUCAGAAAAGACAUUGAGAGUUAUCAGGACAAACACUAGCCAUCAGCAACUCCAGAGGCUGCCUCAGGAACUAUGGCUACAUAUCAGCCCCGCCUUCAGUACCGUGCACCAUGCACUAACUCCAUUUUUCUGCUACUUUCGUCUCUCUAUUCCAACGACCGCAAAAAUCUUGAUUCAUAACUCAUGACUGUGCAAAGUGCAGUCAUGUGUCCUUCAUCUUAUUAGAAUUCAUUAUAUAUAAAAUUUUCUGUUAUUUUUCUUCAGGGCAUAACCCUUACAGAAGAACUAUUUGAUGGCAACACACGUAGAAACAAGUAGACAAACACAGCUGUGAAUGAUAAACUCAAAUGACAGUGCUCAGGCAGACAACGGCCCUUCCAACAGUCCAGAACAGGCUUAUUUUAUCUUGUUGUCAUUAGGAUCAAAUGAAAAACAAAAUCUUAAAAUUCUUAUGGAGAACUCUCAGACACUUGAACAUACAUUCCUAAAUUCCAAGAGAGCCACAGAAUCCAUUCUGAGAAACACUGAUGUACUGACUGGUUAAAAAUAAUAAUUGCCCUAGAGGCAACUGAAUUCAUGUAUUUAAUAAUAAUAGCUAACAUUUAGCAGGUGCUUAUGCGUGCUUGGCAGCCAACAUAUAUGGUUUUCUGACCCCAAUGCCCUGCUCCAGUGCACAGUAAUUAGAAAGGAAUAACUAGCCUGGGCAACAUAGGGAGACCCCAUCUCUACAAAUAAUUUAAAAAAUUAGCCAGGUGUGGUGGCACAUGCCUGUAGUCCCAGCUACUAGGAGGGCCACCUGAACCUGGGAGGUUGAGGCUGUACUGAUCCAUGAUCAUGCCGCCACACUCCAACAUGGGUGACAGAGCAAGAGCCCAUCUCAGGGAAAAAAAAAAGGAGGCAAAGAACUAUUAUUUAUGGUUCAUAAUCCACAUGCUAGGCACUUCACUCAGUAUGCUGCAUGCAUUCAUGUAUAACUGUAAAAUACAUGUGCCAAGAGGACAUUAUCCCAAUUUUCCUGAUGAUUAAAGAACAACUGAUAGAUUAAGAAAUGUGUUCAGUCAUUUAGCUAGUAAACAGAAGAAACAGGAUUUGAAUUUAGUUCUUCCUGAUCCCAAUAUUGGAGUACCUCAGUAGGGGGUGGAAUCUCUCCAAUCCCUGCUAUGAGCCUAACACUCUAAUCCCAUUAUGGUAGACAGACUCAAAGCCCCCCAAAGAGGUCCAUGACCUAAUCCCCAAAACCUAUGAAUGUGUUACCUCACAUGACAAAGGGCACUUUGCAGGUGUGACCAAAUUAAGGACCUUGAGAAGGGGAGAUUAUCCUGGAUUACUGGGGAAGGAAGAAUGAGGAGGGACCAAUCUAAUAACGAGGGACCUUAUAACCAAAGGCGAUGGAGGUGCAGGAGAGUCAGAGUCAGAGAAAGAGAUGUGAAGACAGAAAGCAGGGGCCAUAAUUCAGGGACGAAAUUGCCAGCACUAAGGAUGGAAAGGGGCCAUGAGCCAAGGAAUCUAGGGAGCCUCUGGAAGCUGGAAAAGCCAAGGAACAGAUUCUCCUCUAGAACCUCCAGAAGGAACGCAGCCCUGCCAACUCCUUGAUUUUAGCCCCAUUUUGGACUCUGACCUCCAGAACUGUAAGUUUGUGUUAAGCCGCUAAGUUUGUAUUAUUAAAUAAUUUGUUACAGCAGCAUAGGAAAUUAAUAGAGCCAUACUAACACAGUGAAACAGAGGUUUGUGUUACAACUUCAGCUGUUCUGAGGUAGGCUUGCCAACUCUGAACUUAGGAUGAAAAGGAGAACAAUGACAAAGGAGUAAAUGGUGCUGAGGGGGGCCACUUAGGGAGAAAGUUAUAAAAAGGGAUAAAGUGACUCCUGGACAAAGCCUCCCAGAGGAGGUAAAAUAUGGAUUUCAGGGCUGAAUGCAUGAGACCACGUGCCGAAGCGUACUGCUGGUGGGUAAGGAAACACAAGUGCAGACAGGCGGCACUCACAACUCCAGUCGCUGCCUCCAUAAAGCCGCCCGUCCACCAGUCCCUGGAUGUUCUCCUAAGAGCAUUUCAGUUAUGUUCUCCCAAGAGAGCAUCCAAGGCCAUUUUAUAUUUUUCUGUUUUUGUUUUUCUUGAGAGAAUUUCUGGAAGAGUUGGCAAUUCUGGAAGAGGGCUACAGGGAGAGGAGGGCUUGGCCAUUUUCUGGUCACCGGUGAAUUCUGUUCAAGGCCAAGACCAACACCACUCCAGAGUGCCACACUUGAGAAACCAAGUCACUGUUAAAUAGGAAACUCUGACUCCACACUGGACCAUUUAGAAGACCAUUUGCAGUGGGGCCAAGUUUUUGCCCAGCCUACAGCCAGAGGAGCCACCACAGGAGACCAGAUACCCCUGAGUGUCAUCUAGCUACAGCGCAUAUCCCUCCCAGGUUUGGUCUGUAUUGGCCACCAGAGGCUGCACCACGUUUCGACUGCAGGGAUCUAUCCCCUGGUUUAAGAGCAAGAAAUCAAGUCUCCAGCCUCACGGACAGCACUGAAAGCCCCCAGUUCCCACAGCAACAGUGGGUUCCAAAGAUGAAGGGGUCAGGAGCCACCCAGUGACAUGCUGGAGCUGGGCACUGCAGCCCAGCUCUCUCCACACCAGUAUCCUUAAAAAAGCUAUAGAACCCGUCAAGUCUGACUUGAGUGCAGCUGUCUUCCUUCCCCAGAACCCCCUUGGUGGAGCCUCCCCAGAUUUCAUGGGUUUAUGCUCAGGUGGUUAUUAAGUAAGAUUAACUUUCUCAGUCACUCAACAAAUGUUUACUGAGCACAGAUGGGCACCAUGCCAAAUGUUGGGAAUACAGUUGCUCUCAGUGCUACAAAAAAGAGGGGUGUGGUGCCACAGAACAUGAGAGGACAAGAUGACCUAGGUAGGAAAGGCCUCCCCAAGGAAGGGAUGUUUGCACUGGAACCUGAAAAAAAGGCGCUAGCUAUUAAAAGGGGCUAGAUGAGGCAGCUCAGUAUCUCUCAGGGUAUUUAUCUGCAUUUAUGAAAUGCUUUGAAACCCAAAGGAAGGCAUAAAAAUGAUACCAAUGAAUAUAAAUAGCACUUUAUGGUUUAUAAAAUGUUUUUCCAUGCUUCAUCCCAGAUUCAACAAUAGCACUAGAGAGACAGAACAAGAAAUUUCAUGCUCUGCCUUUUAUAAAUGAGGAAACUGAGAUUAACAGCAGUUACAUGCCUCACCAAGGUUAUGAAGUCAAGGAGAAGACUCAAGUCUGGCUCUCAUUAUUCCUCAUUGAGAGCUCUUUUCACUACAUAGUGCUGCCUUCCCAGGAAAGCUAAAAAGUUAAACGACAGACUGGUGUUCAUAUUUACUAAUGCAAAUCAUACCAAACAUCUGGCUGCUGGACUCACCUAUUCACACAGUUGGACUGACAGUGCAAUGCCAGCAACCUGGUUUCAGCAUUACCAGCCACCCUGCACCUUCAACCAGCAACCUCCAAGCAAGCGGCGCCAGUGUCAGACCAAUCCCCAGCUCAAGGAGAACUUCCCUGAAAACUUUGUGAAUUGUUCUAAGCUAUACAGCUAAAAGAAAAUAAAAACAUGUUUCAAUUUAAAAA
Long non-coding RNA from Homo sapiens (human), 10168 nucleotides. RefSeq lists it as uncharacterized. The transcript has 3 exons. NCBI's taxonomy places the organism in Eukaryota, Metazoa, Chordata, Mammalia, Primates, Hominidae. The record is from RefSeq and is a predicted model, not a curated record.